ACCAAACUGAAGAGUCGCAAGUAGAACGAAACGCGCGUCCUGGAU
Molecule: non-coding RNA, 45 nt
Organism: Schistosoma margrebowiei
Lineage: Eukaryota; Metazoa; Platyhelminthes; Trematoda; Strigeidida; Schistosomatidae
Source: Rfam